AUGUUGCUUAGAGGAAGGACUCGUGGAAAUGGACUUGCCUUGGACAUUCGCUGUGACAUUGCAUAUGAGGGAGACCAAAGCCCAGAGAAAUGAAGAUGUCAGGGACAAUCUGCUGGGUCUAUGACUCUCAGUCUGUGCCUUCUCUGAGACUGCAGAGGCUGUGUGACCUCGGGUGAGCUGUUGAGCCUCUCUGAGCUGCAAAAGAAAACCACAUGGCUCUCCUCCAAGAUUGUUGUGAAGACUGAUGUCUAAAAAAUGCCAGCUACAAAAAGGGAUCCACCAGACGCUGCUCCCCGCUGCUGACCUGGCCCAGAGACACUUGUGAUAUCUAGAUGGAAUCUAUCUAGUUAUGUAAAUAACUGACUGGAAAUGGAAAACAAAAUGAACCACAACUUCAAUUUGCCCAUGACAGCAACAAAGGGCACAUCCUAAAGUAAACAGUCACUGGAAUUGGUGAACAAAGAACACCUCCUUUUGGAAACAGAGGCUCGGGACAUUGAAAUUCAUUGCCUGAGGUCCCCAUGCUGUUGAUGGUGUUCCUGUGCCACACAUGCAAGGCUCGUCUGCAGGGGGCCUGGUUGUUCUUCCCACUCACUGAAGGAUCCUGACCAGCUGGGCAAGAUGGUGGGACUCAAGCCUCAUUUUGUGACUGGCUUUUGACCGGAGGCUUCCCUCAGUUUCCUGCCUGGUGGAUCCCUCCAUGGGGCAUCUCACAGCACACCAACAUGAGGAAAGAGGAGUGAAGACCGUGGAGGCAAGCCAAAGGCAUGAGAAAGACAGAGAUGUUGGAGUAACAGAAGUCGCAGAUCCUCCGCGCUCCUUCAGUUCUGGAAUCAGCUUCCGUGUGAAUUGGUCUUCAAGGGCACCACAGCAUGAUUCUCCGAACACACUCCUGUUUUAAGAUUCAAAGAGAUGUCAACCUGAGGCCCUCCAUCAUGCAUUCUUUCUGCUAAUCCCCACAGGAUACAGGUCUCAGACUCCAGGACUCAAUGAUCCUCCUGGCUCUGCCUUGGACAACAGGCACACACCACAGCACCUGACUAAAGUUACUAUUUAAUGGGUACAGAGUUUCAGUUUGGGAAACAAAACAAAAAGUUCUGGAUGCUUGCACAGUACUGUGAAUGUACUUAAAGCCACUUAAAAAUGGCUAAAAUGGUCAAUUUUAUGUUAUGUAUACUUAUCCUAAUAAAAAUCUUGUCUUAUCACUUGCAGCACCAUC
Non-coding RNA from Ictidomys tridecemlineatus (thirteen-lined ground squirrel), 1219 nucleotides. The record is from RefSeq and is a predicted model, not a curated record. Lineage: Eukaryota; Metazoa; Chordata; Mammalia; Rodentia; Sciuridae.